UACGUAGGGCGCAAGCGUUUGUCCGGAAUUAUUGGGCGUAAAGAGCUCGUAGGCGGCUUGUCACGUCGGGUGUGAAAGCCCGGGGCUUAACCCCGGGUCUGCAUUCGAUACGGGCUAGCUAGAGUGUGGUAGGGGAGAUCGGAAUUCCUGGUGUAGCGGUGAAAUGCGCAGAUAUCAGGAGGAACACCGGUGGCGAAGGCGGAUCUCUGGGCCAUUACUGACGCUGAGGAGCGAAAGCAUGGGGAGCGAACAGG
RNAcentral lists this ribosomal RNA (254 nucleotides) under uncultured bacterium. RNAcentral's name for it is "partial 16S ribosomal RNA". It matches the Rfam family "Bacterial small subunit ribosomal RNA", at positions 524 to 776 of the family's 1533-position model. The record is from RNAcentral.